RNAcentral lists this unclassified non-coding RNA (344 nucleotides) under soil metagenome. RNAcentral's name for it is "partial contains 5.8S ribosomal RNA, internal transcribed spacer 2, and large subunit ribosomal RNA". The stretch from base 1 to 121 matches the Rfam family "5.8S ribosomal RNA", at positions 35 to 154 of the family's 154-position model. The record is from RNAcentral.
GAUGAAGAACGUAGCGAAUUGCGAUAUGUAAUGUGAAUUGCAGAUUUUCAGUGAAUCAUCGAAUCUUUGAACGCACAUUGCGCCCGCUAGUAUUCUGGCGGGCAUGCCUGUCCGAGCGUCAUUUCAACCCUCAAGCCCCCGGGCUUGGUGUUGGGGAUCGGCGAGCCUCCGCGCCCGCCGUCCCCUAAAUCUAGUGGCGGUCUCGCUGUAGCUUCCUCUGCGUAGUAGCACACCUCGCACUGGGAAACAGCGCGGCCACGCCGUUAAACCCCCAACUUCUGAACGUUUGACCUCGGAUCAGGUAGGAAUACCCGCUGAACUUAAGCAUAUCAAUAAGCGGAGGA